CGACGCGGCGGUGGGCCGGUCAGCCUCCGCUGGUUGGCGCGGCGCUGGGUCCCACGACCCGUUCGAUCCGACUCGGCGUCGGC
RNAcentral lists this transfer RNA (83 nucleotides) under Propionibacterium freudenreichii. RNAcentral describes it as "tRNA-Pro(tgg)". RNAcentral also lists the same sequence under 1 other name. The record is from RNAcentral. Lineage: Bacteria; Bacillati; Actinomycetota; Actinomycetes; Propionibacteriales; Propionibacteriaceae.